Molecule: long non-coding RNA, 5972 nt
Filed under: Ananas comosus (pineapple)
Lineage: Eukaryota; Viridiplantae; Streptophyta; Magnoliopsida; Poales; Bromeliaceae
Description: long non-coding RNA (ACOM_LNC007654)
Source: RNAcentral
UUAAUUAUUAGGUUAAUAACAUUGGAAAAUUUUGAAAUUUGAUUUUUUAAAUACUUCAAAUGGUCUAAAUCAUGUUCAAUGUUCAACGAUACUGAUCGCUAAUUUAAAAACUCCAUCAUCGAAAUAAAUUGGUCUCAACGAAAUCCAUUUACUACCGAUAAUAUUCUAGCUCAACUCAAUAUAACUACAUAGCACAAGCAUUGUAAUCAACAUCAUAAAAAAUUAUAUAUAUAUAGAGAGAGAGAGAGACAGAGUUCCGCUAUCUUCAUUCAUACUGGACUCUUUUCACAUGUUACCGAAACAAAAGAACAACAAAGAAUACAUUUGCAGAGUAACAAUCAGACGAUUUUCACAGGCCUGUAAGUUUUCUGUGAAGAUGCCCUUCAGCAGAGUGCUCGUCGCCGUCGUGGUGGUGGAAAAUGUAGGUUAGGGUACCGACCAGGCAAAGCACCGAGCCGACAAGAAGCUUAUCAUACCGUUCUACCCAGUGAAACUUGAUUUGGCUCGCGCCGUAGUAUGAUAGAGCCACCAGAGAGGUCAUCACCGUGAUUGUACUGCAUUUCAGAGAAUAAAAUGAUCUAAAUUUACGAAUUCAAGGGAUCGAAGUAAAAGACUAAGAAACACAACAAUUAAGGAGUCAUUUGGUACUGCAGUUGUUUUUCAGUUUAAAUAAACACAAAUUCUGAUGGUCGAUAAACUGGUCUAUAGACUUUUCUUAGGUCUGUCAUUAUUGACUAGCUUGCAAUGCAAACCAUCGGGGAGUCAGAAGGCAUCGAAGGCAUCUUCUUAAGAAAGAGUAAAAAGUUACGACUAAUUUUUUGUUUUUGUUUUUGUUUUUUGGGGAAACAAACUCUUUGGAUGUAUAGACAGACGAGUAUUCUAACAUCCACCCACACUCUAUUAUAUUAAGUUUGCAUUAAGAAAAACAAAAAACUGGCAAUGCUACCAAACGAUGCCUGAGUAUCUGUCUGAGAAAAGAAAUCAACUGGAAAAUCAUCUAACAGAUCAAGAACAUUGUUGAUAUACUUCUUGAUUUUAUCUUCUAAAGCAUUAAAAACAAAGGGUUCAAUUGAAAGCUCCCACUUCUAGGUUUUACCUGAAAUUGGUGGCGAUUUUAAUGGAAGUCAACAUGUCAACAUGGCUUUGAGAAUCAUUAAACUCGACAUCACAUCCCUCAAAAGCUUGAACGAGGUCAUACUCACCUGUCUUUCGUAAUGUCCUCACAUAAUAGGUAGGUAAUAAACACGGCCUAGAAAAGCAACUUGCAUAAUGCCCUUGCUAUUCUCCAUGAGACGAGUGACCGAUAACCUACUUUUGGGAUUUACCUAAAUUUAAAAGGCUCCACUAAAACAGAAGAAAUUUGGUAUUUACCCGCUCCGAAACUACAACUAUGUGCACUUCUCCUUAUGAUGGUAGGUAGCAAACUUUUGCCACUGAAGCUCCUGGUAUAUUGAAAUUCCGGGGGACGAAACAUAUCUAUGAAACAUCUGCUGACUUCAUACUAUCUUUUUCAUAUUGACACAAAAGUAGCGACUAAGCAAUCAACCCAUGUUUGGACAACAGGACAAAAUAUUCCUCAUAUCUACAGAUUGAAAAACAAUACUCUAACCAAGAUAGUCAAAUAAACAAAAUGGCGCACCUGAAUAGUAGCACGAUGAUGGCGAGAAUCAUCAUGGAGGACGAGUUACCGACCGCAAGAAACACAGGAAGGGUUGUUGCGCAUGGAGAUAAUGCGGGUACAAGUACCAGCCCAGCCACAGCCAUCUUCUCCAUCGGAUGGUUGUGGGCAUGACUAUGCCCUCCCUUCCCCAGAGCAAAUAAUACGAUAUAGCUUGCUCCUAGAAAUAUGAGCAAAAGGGAAGCAAGUUUAUGCACUGUCUCCUCGCCUGCAAUAGUGUUAGCCAUAGUUACUGCUGUGAUGCCAAGAAGAGAGGUCGAAACCACAUGCAAGACACCUCCAAAUGCAGCUGCGAGGUUGAGAAGGGAGUUUUUAUUUAGCCACACAUACAUACCAUAAAAUGUAAGAAUGAAGGAAAGCACAACUCUGAGAAGAACUACGGCCUAGCAAACCGAAUAAAGGUUACAGACAAAAAAGGUAUACGGAUUUUGCCAACCCUAUAAGCCUCUAAAUGUAGAUAUAGUCAUUGGUUGUGGACUCUAUCCGAUGCGACAUUGUUGGAGCUAAUGACUCCCUUGACUUUGAUCUGUUGGUCACAAUUGAAGUAACCGUCGAUAUUCGAUAAAACCAAAUAAUUCGCCAAUUCACAUGCAACAGCAAGUUCUGUGGGCCAAAAUUAAUCAGGAAAGUUACUCAUUUUGAAGGUUUUAUGGAUCAACUAGGUUUCCACCAUUUACGUACAAGACGAAAAUUAGGUUUCCCUUUUCUUGUCAGAAUUCAAAUGUAUUAAAAUUUGGGUUCAGGUCUUUAGCAGAUUUGAAGAAAAUAGCAAAGUGCAAUAAAAAACGCAAGAUUGUUUCGAUACAGCUUUACUCUUCAGAGGCACAUUACUCCACAAAUAAUCUAGAUUUUCCCCUACUUCGUUAAAUAGACUAAGAGCCAAAACUAACAAAUUUCUCCAAUGUCUUGGGGACCUUAGAUAUACUUAGCUGAUCACAUUUGAUCCAUCGUACACAAAAUUUCCGGGUAGUAUAAACUCACUUUUCACAACUUGCAAGUCCAUCCAUUCAUUCAAUGUCGACAUCGCUUCCCCAUGAACUCUAAACGCAUCCCAUGACUACCAGCUGACGUCCAUUCCUGUUCCCCUGUCCAAAUCCUCAAAUCUCUCAGAGCCUCGUAAAUUCUAACACUCUAGAUGAUCGAUCUCUAGAUGCUGGAAAUGAUUUAAAAUUUACUUUCCUAUACUAAACUAGCCGGAUAUGGCGCCCAGAGGAGAGCCUGAAAAGAAACCUUGAAGAUCUAAUCUACUCAUUUUCUUCUUUUUAAAUCUCAUAAACUCUUGAAAAAACUGAAAGUUCUGCCCAAGUGUCAAAAUAAUAUUAUCGAGAGAACACAUGAACCCUCUUCUUCCAUUAAUCCAACAGAAUAUUCUUCUGCAGAAGAAAUGCAUCUUCUAAAAUAGGGUCUAAACAAAUGGGUCCGAUCCAACUCCGCUACCCAAUAACCCCCUAGACAAGCUUCUCUUUGUAUCAUGCAAAUCACGAAAUCGUUAGACAGGUUGUUUCGACCUGACGCUUUUACACAUACAGGAGAGAAUCUGUCCAUGCGGCAGAUCCGUUGCCCUCCCAGUUGGACUUCCACACCGGAGCAUAACAGAUUGAGCUGGUAUGAAAGGUUUCAAAGCACGAUAGCCGAUUUUGGAUUAUUGGGUGGAUUACGAUACAUAUCGGUCUCGUAUCGUCGUACGGUACAUAUACUAGGCCUUAUUUGGACGUCAUAAUAACAUAUCCAAUGAUAACUUAUUCGGUACAAGCAUAUAGCUCAGACCUUACUCGGAUGUCAGAAUAACAUACAUAUCCAAUGAUAAAUGAUUGAAAACUAGGAGUUUUUUUUUUUUUUGCUCCUCGAAAGGCGGGUUUGGAUAGCAAGCAUAUUCCACCUACGAACCAGCCGAUUCAUCUAAUUCCUCAAAUUAGUAUAUCAGACCGCGAUCAUCAUCGUGAAAAUUCUUGAAUAGAUCGAGUGAGGAAGAUGUUCGUGCAUCCAAACAGGGUCUGCAUCUGCAUACUAAGAAGAAGAAGAAGAAGAGGAUAGAGGAUUGAAGGGACUGACUGAUGAGGAGGGUGGUGGAGAGGGACCAGUUCUGGGCGCGGCCGACGAUGGAGAAGGGGAGCCAGUGCGUGGGGAUGAAGGAGUGCAGCAGCGACACCGUCGCGAUCCCACCCAUCGUCGACGCCUCCUCCGCGCUCAACCCCCCACCACCCCCACCAUUCACCGCCAUUUGAGCACCACCACCACCACUACUGCUACUGCUACCGCAACUGUGCUGGAGCGGAGAGAGAUCCCAAGAACCCUAAUAACGAAAACUGUUGUUCUUCUACUAUCGCGCCGUGUUCCCCAGAUCCCUAAUCUUGUUUGAUCUUUUACUUUUUAGAUCUGGGACCCAGAUCCGGAGAAGAAGAUGAAGAAGAAGAAGAAGAUCGAGAAAAACCAAAAAAGCCAAAAGGAUUCGGUAAGAGGAAAAGAAAAAUUCCUGGCGAAAAAGAAUUUGGGGCUCGAACCGAACAGCGCGAGAAUGGAGGGGAGAGUGAGUGACGCUCUUUUCUCACGUUGAUCCGAAUUUUAAUUAUUAUUAUUAUUAUUUUGACUUAAAUUAACUAUUUUUUCAAAAUUAAUGAGCUUAUAAAAGAUAUUAUAAUUAUAAAAAUAAGUUUUAAAGUUAUUCUUGACUGAUAAAUAAUUCAUUAUUUCUUGAAUAUCAUAAAAUUUAUUUAUUAUUUUUUAUUCAAAAAAUUAAAAUUAUUUUUACUGUUUAUUAUGUCUAUUUUUUUAAAAAAAAUAAAUUAUUAAUCGCUUGGGUCUAAUUUUAUAAAUAAAAAUUCGGAAUAUCUAUUUUCACAAUUAAAAAAAUUUGCACGAUUAGUUGCGGGAAAAUCCAUUCCUAACUUUUGUUUUUCUUUAUUUUUUUUGGCCAAAAACUCACUUCUAACUUUUAUUUUAUAUUUUAUUUCAAAUAAAUCUGGAGCAUUUAAAUUUAUCUUAAUUUUGAUAAAAUAUAUUAAGUCGACUCUAAUAAAAUCAUAUCUGCUCAUGUAAAUGACAAUUAUGGUCCAUCAAAAAAAUUUAAGUACUACUUUAAGCUCGAUAUUAAAAAUAUUGAAUGCUCUAAAAAAAGUAGUAUUUGCUGGUAUAUAUCAAGAUCAUUAUCAAGAUCAUCGUCCAUAAGUCUCUGAUCAAUUUUGAUACUAAUAUAUUUUUCUUAUUUUCUGAAGAGUUUCAUAACACUUUUGGUUCAAAAAUAAUUAAAAUAAAAUUAAAAUUAAAAUACAAAAUAAAAAAAUAAUUUAAAAUUAAGUUUGCACCUCAAAACAUAAAACUAAAUUUAUAAUUUAAAUUCAAACUAAAAAUUAAAUAUUAAAAUUCCCAUCAAAAUAUUAAAAUGAUAAGCCAAAAUUUAAAGUAUAAUUUAAAAUUUUAAAAUUUAGUGGACAAUUCAAAAAAGUAAAACUAAUUUUUGAUUUGAAUUAAAUUCAAACUUACAAUUAUAGAUCAAAUCCAAAAUACUUGUAUUGAAUAUGUACUUUCAUUUAAUUUCUAAAUCAAAAUCUAGAGUUAAAAAUUUAAUUUCUAAAUUUAAAUUUAUAAUUUAAUUAAAAAUCAAAGUCAAAAAAAUAGCAAAAUGUAAUUGAGGUAUUUUUUUAAAGUGUAUUAUUUUUAUCUGGAUUCAAUUCAGAGUCUAACUUUCGAGGUUGGAUUGAAAAAAAAAAGUGAUAGGAGAUUCUCAUUCAUCGAGAAGUGAAAUCGAAAUAAUAAUCUCGCAUACCAAACACUCACGAUUUGUCCAUUCGAAGUCCAAGAUGAAAAAUAAAUGAACAAAACACGCCCUCGGCGCGGUGAGAUUAGGCUUGGAAAAAAAAUAGGAACCAAUUGGGAUUUUAAUUCUAAUUCCGAUUGUAAAAAUUAAAAAGUCGGACAUUAAAAUAAAAAUUUGGGUGAAUGGUGAAAAUGCAAUUAACCCAAUUGAAAAAUGUUGGGCAAAACUGUUUUCAAAUACAUUUAUAAUUACUAAAAUUAUCCCACUAUUCCACAAACUUCUACAAUUAGUAGUUAUUAGGCUUAAUUUGGUAUGAAGGCUUAUCAAACGCUUUUUAGAUAAAAUGGAAUUGAAAAAAACACAUACAAAAAUAUGCUUUUGCGUUCUCCAGUAAAACCACAGAAAAUAUAUAGUAAUCGACUCAUCACGAUAUGCGAAAGUAAUAUUACAUACGGAAAUAAAUAAAAUAUUUUUUCAACGUAUUUUUUUACCGCACAUAACGCAAUCUCUCGAGAUCUUAGUGAACUUCUGUUUAACGCC